AUGCAAAGAACUUUGAAAAGAGAGUUAAACAGGGCUUGAAACCGUUAAGAAUGAAGCGUAGGAGGCCAGUGAUCAUGGGGCCAGAUCACCAGGCGACCGCAAGGUCGCCGUAUCGUUCUGGUAACGGGGCAGCGCCGGCUGGAGGCGAGCGAUAAAGGGUUGGAUAGUCGAGCAAUUUACUUUGUCCUAUCCCCACCAUAGCUUGGGCUCUGGCCGAGGGAUCCGCAGUCAAAUGCGUGAGGGCGCUGCCAAAAUGGCCUUUUACAUCCCGUCUUGAAACACGGACCAAGGAGUCUAACAUACCCGCGAGUGUUUGGGUAGUAAAACCCAGACGCGCAAUGAAAGUAAAAGGCGCUUGGCGUCCAAAGUGGUAUCCGCUACCUUUUGUGUUACGGUGCACCAUUGCCCGACCAUGAGCCUCUUGGGGUGAACGGUUCGAGGAAGAGCGAGUAUGCUGGGACCCGAAAGAUGGUGAACUAUUCCUGAGUAGGGCGAAGCCAGAGGAAACCUUGGUGGAGGCUCGUAGCGAUGCUGACGUGCAAAUCGCUCGUCGAACUUGGGUAUAGGGGCGAAAGACUAAUCGAACCAUCUAGUAGCUGGUUCCCUCCGAAGUUUCCCUCAGGAUAGCGGGA
RNAcentral lists this ribosomal RNA (632 nucleotides) under Porphyra linearis. Its description in RNAcentral is "partial 28S ribosomal RNA". It matches the Rfam family "Eukaryotic large subunit ribosomal RNA", at positions 364 to 986 of the family's 3401-position model. The record is from RNAcentral. Lineage: Eukaryota; Rhodophyta; Bangiophyceae; Bangiales; Bangiaceae.